AGGGAAUCUUCCACAAUGGACGAAAGUCUGAUGGAGCAACGCCGCGUGAGUGAAGAAGGUUUUCGGAUCGUAAAACUCUGUUGUAAGGGAAGAACAAGUACAGUAGUAACUGGCUGUACCUUAACGGUACCUUAUUAGAAAGCCACGGCUAACUACGUGCCAGCAGCCGCGGUAAUACGUAGGUGGCAAGCGUUGUCCGGAAUUAUUGGGCGUAAAGCGCGCGCAGGCGGUCCUUUAAGUCUGAUGUGAAAGCCCACGGCUCAACCGUGGAAGGUCAUUGGAAACUGGGGGACUUGAGUGCAGAAGAGGUUAGUGGAAUUCCAAGUGUAGCGGUGAAAUGCGUAGAGAUUUGGAGGAACACCAGUGGCGAAGGCGACUAACUGGUCUGUAACUGACGCUGAGGCGCGAAAGCGUGGGGAGCAAACAGGAUUAGAUACCCUGGUAGUCCACGCCGUAAACGAUGAGUGCUAAGUGUUAGGGGGUUUCCGCCCCUUAGUGCUGCAGUAAACGCAUUAAGCACUCCGCCUGGGGAGUACGGCCGCAAGGCUG
Molecule: ribosomal RNA, 549 nt
Filed under: uncultured bacterium
Lineage: Bacteria
Description: bacterial SSU rRNA
Rfam family: Bacterial small subunit ribosomal RNA
Source: RNAcentral